AGCUACUGCUAUCGGAAUUCGAUUAAGCCAUGCGAGUCGAGAGGGUUAGGCCCUCGGCUGAAUGCUCAGUAACACGUGGAUAAUUUGCCCUCAGGUAGGGGAUAACCUCGGGAAACUGAGAAUAAUACCCUAUAGGCAUCCUUUGCUGGAAUGCUUGGAUGUUCAAAGGCGACGCCUGAGGAUAAGUCUGCGGCCUAUCAGGUAGUAGUGGGUGUAACGGACCCACUAGCCAGCGACGGGUACGGGCCUUGAAAGAGGUAGCCCGGAGAUGGACUCUGAGACACGAGUCCAGGCCCUACGGGGCGCAGCAGGCGCGAAAACUUCGCAAUGCGGGAAACCGUGACGAGGGAAUUCCGAGUGCUCAUACAAUGUAUGGGCUUUUAUGAUGUGUAAAAAGUAUCAGGAAUAAGGGCUGGGUAAGACCGGUGCCAGCCGCCGCGGUAACACCGGCAGCUCGAGUGGUAGCCACUAUUAUUGGGCCUAAAGCGUCCGUAGCCGGUCAGGUAAAUCCAUGGGUAAAUCGUACAGCUUAACUGUACGGCUUCCGUGGAGACUGCCUGACUUGGGACCGGGAGAGGUUGGAGGUACUCCUAGGGUAGGAGUGAAAUCCUGUAAUCCUAGGUGGACCACCGGUGGCGAAGGCGUCCAACCAGAACGGCUCCGACGGUGAGGGACGAAGGCUAGGGGCGCGAACCGGAUUAGAUACCCGGGUAGUCCUAGCUGUAAACGCUGCAGACUUGGUGUUGGAGAUCCUACGAGGGUGUUCAGUGCCGAAGAGAAGUUGUUAAGUUUGCCGCCUGGGAAGUAUGGCCGCAAGGCUGAAACUUAAAGGAAUUGGCGGGGG
RNAcentral lists this ribosomal RNA (844 nucleotides) under uncultured archaeon. RNAcentral describes it as "bacterial SSU rRNA". It matches the Rfam family "Archaeal small subunit ribosomal RNA", at positions 21 to 874 of the family's 1478-position model. The record is from RNAcentral.